CCCCUUAAUAUUUCAAAACCAUGCAUAAAUACUUGAAAUACAAAAUACGUAUUACAUGUCUUCAUAUUCAAAAUACAUGACUUCUCCCCCUUCAUCAUCAAAAUUACUAGAAAUUCAUGCGAAGAUCGAUAAUAUGUCAAUGGUUAAUCAAGAAACAUAUAAUAACCAAACAUCCAAUUAACCAUAAAAUGAUCAUGAACCAUCAAACCAUCAAAAGAAUGCUUAAAAUGCAUAUUAUCAUAAAUCAUAUUGUAUGCUCCCCCUAAAUAUAUGGCCAAUUAAAAAAUUUAACCAAAAUGAUAUUAUCCAAAAACAUGUGAUAUUUAUCUCCCCCUUCAUAAAAAAUAGAUAGAUGCAAUCGAAACAAGAGUAUAAAAAAUAAGUCGAUAUAGAUAUUACCAAUUUUGUGCGAGCAAAAUUUUCGGCAGAGUCUCCUCGUAAAAUGAAUAAAUCCUUAAAUAUACAACAUGGUUAAAAACACUUCCAUAUAAGCUUAAGCAAUUAUAACAAACCAACAACUCCAUCAAUUCUUCAAGCAACACAUAUGUAAUCAUCAAUCAUCAAAUUCAAUAUGAAUUCCCCCAACAUUUGUAACAAUUAUAUCCGAGGAUCCCAUAAACAUAUUCGAAUAAAACACCUUAACUAAAUUUUCAUAGUAUUGCUCCUUAAUAACUAAAACAUUUUUUUUAGCCCAUAGCAAUGAGAAAAUAACUAAGAGAUUUGUCACAAAUUUCUAAAUUCUUCAAAUUACGAAUGUUAACAAAAUAAGGAGUGAUAAUUGACCUCGACAUAAAAUUGUCGUAAAACCGUUUCCGAAGAGGUAGAUGCUGAAAGUGGGUUGAUAUGAACUCCGUAUUAUCUCCAUAAUCGUCCUUACAUCUCUUGGCAACUUGUUUGCUCAUGGAUUUAUCACCAUCCACCAUUGUUGGAACAAAAACAAGCUUAAAGAUCCAAUUUCGGGUUUACAAAAAUUGAGUGAAAUGGAUUUUGGGUUUUAUGUGGAGAGUUGAUGAAAUGAAGUUUUGAGAACGAAAAUUGAAGGAGUAAUGGAUGAAUAAUGAUUUGGAUGAUUGAUUUUGGCAAGAGAAUGAGUGAAAAAUGAAGAAAUUUGAGAGAGAAAUGGAGAGGUAUUGUUCACGCGUGAGAAAUGAUGAUGAAAUGAUGAAGAACAAGUGAAGAAAUAAUGAUUAGGAAGUGUUUAAUGAAGGUUAAAUGCAUGGGUAAUGGUUUAAGAGAUUGAUCUUGGCAUAAAAAUAGUUGAGAAAUGAAGAGAAAUUGAUUGGAAAUGGAAGAGAGUGGCUCACGGUUUUGAAGAGAGAAGAAACAAGUGCAGAAAAAUAACGAAGGAAUGAGAAGAAGUAAAAAAAAAA
Molecule: long non-coding RNA, 1370 nt
Filed under: Citrus maxima (pomelo)
Lineage: Eukaryota; Viridiplantae; Streptophyta; Magnoliopsida; Sapindales; Rutaceae
Description: long non-coding RNA (CMAX_LNC001899)
Source: RNAcentral